This 253-nucleotide ribosomal RNA is filed under the name uncultured bacterium. Its description in RNAcentral is "partial 16S ribosomal RNA". It matches the Rfam family "Bacterial small subunit ribosomal RNA", at positions 524 to 776 of the family's 1533-position model. The record is from RNAcentral.
UACGUAGGGGGCAAGCGUUGUCCGGAAUUAUUGGGCGUAAAGAGCGCGUAGGCGGUCCGAUAAGUCGGCUGUGAAAGUCAGGGGCUCAACCCUUGAAAGCCGGCCGAUACUGUCGGACUAGAGUCCGGAAGAGGCAAGUGGAAUUCCCGGUGUAGCGGUGAAAUGCGCAGAUAUCAGGAGGAACACCGGUGGCGAAGGCGGGUCUCUGGGCCGUAACUGACGCUGAGGAGCGAAAGCAUGGGGAGCGAACAGG